RNAcentral lists this ribosomal RNA (497 nucleotides) under uncultured bacterium. RNAcentral describes it as "partial 16S ribosomal RNA". It matches the Rfam family "Bacterial small subunit ribosomal RNA", at positions 28 to 507 of the family's 1533-position model. The record is from RNAcentral.
GAUGAACGCUGGCGGCGUGCCUAAUACAUGCAAGUCGAGCGAACGGACGAGAAGUUUGCUUCUCUGAUGUUAGCGGCGGACGGGUGAGUAACACGUGGAUAACCUACCUAUAAGACUGGGAUAACUUCGGGAAACCGGAGCUAAUACCGGAUAAUAUUUUGAACCGCAUGGUUCAAAAGUGAAAGACGGUCUUGCUGUCACUUAUAGAUGGAUCCGCGCUGCAUUAGCUAGUUGGUAAGGUAACGGCUUACCAAGGCAACGAUGCAUAGCCGACCUGAGAGAGUGAGCGGCCACACUGGAACUGAGACACGGUCCAGACUCCUACGGGAGGCAGCAGUAGGGAAUCUUCCGCAAUGGGCGAAAGCGUGACGGAGAAACGCCGCGUGAGUGAUGAAGGUCUUCGGAUCGUAAAACUCUGUUAUUAGGGAAGAACAUAUGUGUAAGUAACUGUGCACAUCUUGACGGUACCUAAUCAGAAAGCCACGGCUAACUACGUG